GAUGAACGCUGGCGGCGUGCCUAAUACAUGCAAGUAGAACGCUGAAGCUUGGUGCUUGCACCGAGCGGAUGAGUUGCAAACGGGUGAGUAACGCGUAGGUAACCUGCCUCUUAGCGGGGGAUAACUAUUGGAAACGAUAGCUAAUACCGCAUAAAAGUUGACAUUGCAUGAUGUUGAUUUGAAAGAUGCAAUUGCAUCACUAAGAGAUGGACCUGCGUUGUAUUAGCUAGUUGGUGAAGUAACGGCUCACCAAGGCGACGAUACAUAGCCGACCUGAGAGGGUGAUCGGCCACACUGGGACUGAGACACGGCCCAGACUCCUACGGGAGGCAGCAGUAGGGAAUCUUCGGCAAUGGACGGAAGUCUGACCGAGCAACGCCGCGUGAGUGAAGAAGGGUGUCGGAUCGUAAAGCUCUGUUGUAAGAGAAGAACGAGUGUGAGAGUGGAAAGUUCACACUGUGACGGUAACUUACCAGAAAGGGACGGCUAACUACGUG
This 497-nucleotide ribosomal RNA is filed under the name uncultured bacterium. Its description in RNAcentral is "partial 16S ribosomal RNA". It matches the Rfam family "Bacterial small subunit ribosomal RNA", at positions 28 to 507 of the family's 1533-position model. The record is from RNAcentral.